RNAcentral lists this ribosomal RNA (525 nucleotides) under uncultured Thelebolales. Its description in RNAcentral is "eukaryotic LSU rRNA". The stretch from base 162 to 315 matches the Rfam family "5.8S ribosomal RNA". The record is from RNAcentral. Lineage: Eukaryota; Fungi; Ascomycota; Leotiomycetes; Thelebolales.
GACUGCGGAGGAUCAUUACCGUGGGGCUUCGGCCCCGUCGUGAUAGAACCCUUGCCUUUUUGAGUACCGUCCGUUUCCUCGGCAGGCUCGCCUGCCAAUGGGGACCCAAAACCAAACUCUUUUUAUCAUCUGUACCAGUCUGAAAAACAAACAAAAGUUAAAACUUUCAACAACGGAUCUCUUGGUUCUGGCAUCGAUGAAGAACGCAGCGAAAUGCGAUAAGUAGUGUGAAUUGCAGAAUUCAGUGAAUCAUCGAAUCUUUGAACGCACAUUGCGCCCUCUGGUAUUCCGGGGGGCAUGCCUGUUCGAGCGUCAUUACAACCCUCAAGCUUUGCUUGGUAUUGGACAUUGCCAGUUUCUGGCAGGUCUUAAAAUCAGUGGCGGUGCCAUUUGGCUUCAAGCGUAGUAAUUCUUCUCGCUUCGGAGAUCCAGGUGGUUACUUGCCAAUAACCCCCAAUUUUUUCAGGUUGACCUCGGAUCAGGUAGGGAUACCCGCUGAACUUAAGCAUAUCAAUAAGCGGAGGA